Thalassophryne amazonica is the source of this 1023-nucleotide long non-coding RNA. RefSeq lists it as uncharacterized. NCBI's taxonomy places the organism in Eukaryota, Metazoa, Chordata, Actinopteri, Batrachoidiformes, Batrachoididae. The record is from RefSeq and is a predicted model, not a curated record. The transcript has 2 exons.
AAACAAAACAAACAAAGAACAAAAUCACAGCUAAGAUUUUUACACAGUGAUGUGUAUUUCUUUAAAGGGUGAGGAAAGGAACUUUAUUUAUGUUGCUUAAUGAGGAAACUGUUCAUUGUGUUCCACAUUCUGAUUCAGACUCAUUUACUGUAAACAGCAGCUGAAGUCGUCAGUAAUAAACUCGUGACAGAAAUGACUUCAGUCAUGAGCAAUCCAGGAUUCAGAGCACGUUAUAAAAGUCUGAAAGUUGAUGCAUUUAUUUGGUGAAGUUUAAAAUGAUUCAUCUCUCUGUUUAGAGAAAUAUGAAUACUUUGCUGAAUUUGAAUUCAGCAAGUCUGCAUGACACAGUUAUUUAUUUACAAGAGUGGAAAAAUUAUGGAACCAAAACCCAUAAGUUUGAAAGAAAAAAAAAAAAAAAAGAAAAGAAAAAACUGUGCUACACUGUGAUGAAGCCAAACAGUAAUUUUCCAAGGUUGACUCCUCCCUUUCCUCUUUCACGUUCCAUGCCAUUCAGGAAUGUUUGUGUUUUUUAAGAGACACGUGCUGAUACAUUUGGAGUCAUUUCACUUCAGACUUAACCGGCCACGUUUUCUGGCAGCAACUAAAGAAAAGGAAUCGUCCUCAUUCAGACGAUGAUGACAAACAACAGGACGCCUGGGGUUGUAGAGUCUGGGUUGUUACGGGACUUGGGACGUGAAUUCCUCCGCGGCGCUCCCCCUCCUCCUGCUGUCUGCGCAUGUGCCGCGCCCCCACUGGAAGGUAAGACGCCAACCACACAGACUGGGUUAAUGUGGUAGUGGGUUAAUAUUGUGUGUAUAAUACUUGUGUUUUCAUAGACCCAAUCGCGACGACAGCACGCGAUGACAUCACGCGCCGGGCAGGGCCACACCGAUAGGCAGAAAACUCUGAUGCAGCCGCUGACAGCGUGCACUCAGUGAUCCAUCACACACACUGACAGAUCAGCGGCGUGCAUUAAAAAAAAAAAAAAAAAAAACACGUCACAUCCAGAUGGAUGACAAUCCA